RNAcentral lists this ribosomal RNA (854 nucleotides) under Triticum aestivum (bread wheat). Its description in RNAcentral is "partial small subunit ribosomal RNA". The record is from RNAcentral. Lineage: Eukaryota; Viridiplantae; Streptophyta; Magnoliopsida; Poales; Poaceae.
GGGUAGGUGGUGUCGGGCGGAGCGGAGAGUACCCGAACAGGGGCUGGAGCGGCAGGGUCGAGUUAGAGCGGCGUUUCGAGAGGGAGGUGGCUCGGCCCACAGCUUGGACAAGCGUGGUGGUCCCGACGAAUCUAGGCAAAGGGGCGUAGGGCACGAAGCUCAGGUGGAUUGCCCACACGAGUGGCAGAUGGAACGACGGGUCUGAGCUGGGUGAGGUUACGGUGGCUAACAACUACGCCGGCGGCCAGGUGGAGCGGCUACGCGGUAAGACAACUGACCACAGGCACGAGCGGUCCUGGCGGCGCCACAAACACUAAGUGGUCCGACGGGCUUCUCACAAACAGUCGGGUUCUUGAUCGUCGCGGUUUCAAAUAGGUCCCAUUACUUCGUUCCGUGCUCCAGAACCGCUGGAACGAACCGGUGGUCCGAGGUAGAGGGCGCUGUACGAUGGACGACUGCUGGUGGAUACCAAGGAAAGACAACACGAUUGUUGGUGAGGAAACUAGUGUUACUGUACAAUGUAGAGACUAGAGGGGUCUCACGAGAGUGGCCUUACGAGGGAACGGCUGCACCAGUUACCGCCGUGAGCCCCGCGUCGUACCACUGAUACUAGGUCGCCGAAGCAGAGACACCAGAGUUUCACUGGCCGAGGAACGGAAUCACACUUACAACACUAAGAACAUUGUAUACGUUACAAAGUCCCUAUACAUAUAAUUCAUAAGAUCACUGGGACAUAUACAAGAAGGUAACAAAAGUCAUGGUAUGUACACGAAACCAUAGUAUACACAGUACGAAGGUUGAAUACAUGUUAUUCGAAGCUUUACAGAUGUAUGUCCGAGGAAAGAAAUGUGUCG